Triplophysa rosa is the source of this 414-nucleotide long non-coding RNA. RefSeq lists it as uncharacterized. The record is from RefSeq and is a predicted model, not a curated record. The transcript has 3 exons. NCBI's taxonomy places the organism in Eukaryota, Metazoa, Chordata, Actinopteri, Cypriniformes, Nemacheilidae.
UUUAUGUUUUGCAGGGUUACACACCUCUUCAUCUCGCCUCUCUACAUGGACAUGGCAACAUCAUCCAACUCCUGAUCAAUAACUACAUUGAUAAUGCCAAAGUCAAUAUCAGGGACUAUCAUGGGAAGAUGGCAGCUCAUUACUGGAAUGGCACCAUGGAUAUUUUUAACAAACAUGGAUCUCAUUCCGCUUGCAGAUGGUCAGGCGGGAGGCGUGGCCAAUGUUACGCUCAACUGUCUGCCCUGCUGUCUCGGAGUCACGGGAACAUCAAUGUGGAGAUGUGUGCUCACAGUCCUCUCACCCGCACGAGCCAGACACCUACUCCCUGAUAUAAAAAGAUACCAUAUUCAAACAGUACUGUAGGUUAAAAUAGUAAAAUUAUGAGUGAAAAACUAAUGUAACAGCUACAGAACA